RNAcentral lists this transfer RNA (90 nucleotides) under Gammaproteobacteria bacterium RBG_16_37_9. Its description in RNAcentral is "tRNA-Ser". It matches the Rfam family "tRNA". From Rfam's summary of the family: Transfer RNA (tRNA) molecules are approximately 80 nucleotides in length. Their secondary structure includes four short double-helical elements and three loops (D, anti-codon, and T loops). RNAcentral also lists the same sequence under 1 other name. The record is from RNAcentral. Lineage: Bacteria; Pseudomonadati; Pseudomonadota; Gammaproteobacteria.
GGAGAGGUGUCCGAGCGGCCGAAGGAGCUUGACUGGAAAUCAAGUAUACGCGCAAGCGUAUCGCGGGUUCGAAUCCCGCCCUCUCCGCCA